GUGCCAGCAGCCGCGGUAAUACGGAGGAUCCAAGCGUUAUCCGGAAUCAUUGGGUUUAAAGGGUCCGUAGGUGGAUGAUUAAGUCAGGGGUGAAAGUCUGCGGCUCAACCGUAGAAUUGCCUUUGAUACUGGUCAUCUUGAAUCAUUGUGAAGUAGUUAGAAUAUGUAGUGUAGCGGUGAAAUGCAUAGAUAUUACAUAGAAUACCGAUUGCGAAGGCAGAUUACUAACAAUGCAUUGACACUGAUGGACGAAAGCGUGGGGAGCGAACAGGAUUAGAUACCCUUGUAGUCC
This 292-nucleotide ribosomal RNA is filed under the name uncultured bacterium. RNAcentral's name for it is "partial 16S ribosomal RNA". It matches the Rfam family "Bacterial small subunit ribosomal RNA", at positions 505 to 796 of the family's 1533-position model. The record is from RNAcentral.